GUAAACAACUGUCUCCCAGACAUCUUAUGUCCAGUCCACUAGGUAAACAACUGUCUCCCAGACAUCUUAUGUCCACUUGGUAAACAACUGUCUCCCAGACAUCUUAUGUCCACUAGGUAAACAACUGUCUCCCAGACAUCUUAUGUCCACUAUGUAAACAACUGUCUCCCAGACAUCUUUUGUCCACUAGUUAAACAACAGUCUCCCAGACAUCUUAUGUCCACUAGGUAAACAACUGUCUCCCAGACAUCUUAUGUCCAGUAGGUAAACAACUGUCUCCCAGACAUUUUAUGUCCACUAGGUAAACAACUGCUCAGAGGUACUUUCCAAGUCAAUACUGAGAAUCUACAAACGCUUUGUUAAAAUUUGUUUAUGAGAGAACUUGUACAAUACUUUCUGUAUUAUCGAACCAUGUAGAAUCAGAUUGAUGAUAUGGGUUGAUAUGUUCUCUGCACAGACAGUAGACAAACCAUGUAGAAUCAGAUUGAUGAUGUGGGUUGAUAUGUUCUCUGCACAGACAGUAGACGAACCAUGUAGAAUCAGAUUGAUGAUGUGGGUUGAUAUGUUCUCUGCACAGACAGUAGAUAAACCAUGUAGAAUCAGAUUGAUGAUGUGGGUUGAUAUGUUCUCUGCACAGACAGUAGAUAAACCAUGUAGAAUCAGAUUGAUGAUUUGGGUUGAUAUGUUCUCUGCACAGACAGUAGACAAACCAUGUAGAAUCAGAUUGAUGAUGUCAGCAGAUAUCGAAUAUGAAGGAGCUCGUCGUUUCUUACCGGCGACCACUUUGCGUCCCAAAUGGCACCCUAUUCCCUAUUUAGUGCACUACUUUAGACCCUAUUCCCUAUUUAGUGCACAACUUUUGACAAUGGUUCACAGGGCUCAAGUCAAAAGAAGUGCUUUAUAAUAGGGAAUAGGGUGCUAUUUGGAAUGGAGACUCUAGCAGAGAGGUCAUUGGGAAAGGUGACAUGUACCUUUAUGACCAAGGGAUUCAAUGGGAAAAUGUAUCUUACUGUAAUUACAUGGUAAUAACUAAAGCCAUGCAUGGUGUAGUUACACAGUUGCACCUCUAAGGGGGCGAUAGAGAGAACUUUUUCUUCACUUCGACCUCUUCCUGUCUGAAGUUAGAUGGAUAUUUGAUCAAAUCGGCGAAAAAUCUGAAAAUGAAUUGGCAUUGAACGAGUUGAGCAAUUUUAAAACUUCUUGAAUUGGACUCAUCUGUAGACAUAGGGUGUGUCCGAAAGUGCACCCUGUUUCCUAUGUAGUGUGUAGUGUACUCUGUUUUGACCAGGGACCACUAUAUAAAAUAUGGUACCGUUUGGGUCACCGCCAUACAACCGUAAUGGAAAACAACCUAC
RNAcentral lists this long non-coding RNA (1355 nucleotides) under Salmo salar (Atlantic salmon). RNAcentral describes it as "lncRNA (ENSSSAG00000085953.1)". Lineage: Eukaryota; Metazoa; Chordata; Actinopteri; Salmoniformes; Salmonidae. The record is from RNAcentral.